AUUGUAGUAGGUGAAUGGUGUCUGUAAAAGCCCUUGUCCUGGUGUAGAACUCAAUACAUUAUCAUAGUUUAAAAGAACUAAAAUAAUUAUAUUUAGUUGUCAUAAUAUAGUUUUUUAUAAGUAUUCAAACAACUAACUUCAUAACUAUCAAUGAAUGCAAUUAAAAGUCAUUUAAUGUAUUUUCAAAUUCAAUUGAAAUUGUGUCCUCAGUUUUUGUCAACACCGUCAGACAUAGAAAGAAUGUGAAAAAAAUCAGGCAUUAUUGAAGGGCACCAGAAAUUCUGAGGACCCCAUGACCACUUCCUUUCUCUUCCUGUGCUUGGGGGGAUAAGCAGCUCUGGCUACAAUGGCCAGAGAAAAGCUGUCAGUGGAGGAGCGCAAGAGAAGGAACAGGGAGUAUCAGAAAAGAAGGAGAGAAAAAAUAAAUAGCCAGCCUGAGCUGAAGGAAGAGUUUUUAAGAAAGGAAAGGAAAAGAUGGAGACAGAGAGUGGAAGAGGGAAAAAUAAAACAUAUCAAUAAUCUGGGUGAAAGAGAUAAGAGACGUAAGAGAAGACUUUGGAAGCAAAAACAAAAGGAGGCAAGA
Molecule: long non-coding RNA, 583 nt
Organism: Xiphophorus maculatus (southern platyfish)
Lineage: Eukaryota; Metazoa; Chordata; Actinopteri; Cyprinodontiformes; Poeciliidae
Exons: 2
Source: RefSeq, a predicted model, not a curated record